Molecule: long non-coding RNA, 554 nt
Organism: Mauremys mutica (yellowpond turtle)
Lineage: Eukaryota; Metazoa; Chordata; Testudines; Geoemydidae
Exons: 3
Source: RefSeq, a predicted model, not a curated record
CAGUGCACAACUGCACACCUAGGAGGUGUGUGAUGGGCACAAAUUAAGAAGAUUGUGUUAAGGGGGAGUCAGCAGAAGAAAGCUAGGGGGAUCAGAAACAGCAUGCUGAUGGCCAGUUUUCUUGUGGGUGGAUAAUAGAGAGUAUGGAGCAAAUCCUACCCUUUUGCACAGAAGCAUGGGAAGGCCGUGUCCACAGAACACCUGGGACUUCAAUGGACUUUGCAUCGGGCCCUUGGUACUGUUCUGGACAGGAUGUGGGAAGCACACCCACUACCAACUGGAGCCCAGCUCAGUGGAGAGUCUAUAUCUGUCACUACACUGGAAGGAUAUGUGUGCAGGACAGAUGAAUUCUCCACUCCAGAGAAGCAGCAGCCAUUAUCCAUGUGGCAAUUGGAUACCGAUGGCAUGGGUCUUACACAGAGGAGAGGAAUGUGGGGGAAUAAGGGCAACAGAUUUCCAUUUAGAAAACUUACCCUACAAUUUGACUGAAAUAUCUUCUGUAGCCUUCUACUGUUUCAUGCUUUAAGUAAAAAAACAAAAAUGUUGAGGAAUAA